This 106-nucleotide small nucleolar RNA is filed under the name Olea europaea subsp. europaea. RNAcentral's name for it is "Plant small nucleolar RNA R71". It matches the Rfam family "Plant small nucleolar RNA R71". From Rfam's summary of the family: R71 is a member of the C/D box family of snoRNAs containing the C (UGAUGA) and D (CUGA) box motifs. Lineage: Eukaryota; Viridiplantae; Streptophyta; Magnoliopsida; Lamiales; Oleaceae. The record is from Rfam by way of RNAcentral.
UAUUCAGAGUAGGGCACUUCCUAAAAUAUUCCUUGAAUUUUUCCCAUGCCUCUAGAUAGAUCUCGAGAUCUUUUUGCUUAAAAAUAUGAACUUCAUUUCUGAUAUG